Molecule: ribosomal RNA, 302 nt
Filed under: Nosema granulosis
Lineage: Eukaryota; Fungi; Microsporidia; Nosematidae
Description: partial small subunit ribosomal RNA
Rfam family: Microsporidia small subunit ribosomal RNA
Source: RNAcentral
UUAUUUUAUUUGAUGUAUUAGGAUUAUAACUAUGUUAAAUUAUAGAUAACAAUAAUACAAUAAGAAUAAGAUCUAUCAGUUAGUUGUUAAGGUAAUGGCUUAACAAGACUAUGACGGAUAACGGUAUUACUUUGUAAUAUUCCGGAGAAGGAGCCUGAGAGAUUGCUACUAAGUCUAAGGAUUGCAGCAGGGGCGAAACUUGACCUAUGAUAUUAUAUUGAGGCAGUUAUGAGUAGUAUUUUUAAUUAUUGUAAUAUUGUAAGUAUAUAUUACAAGAUAAAUCGGAGGGCAAAUCGAGUGCC